RNAcentral lists this microRNA (20 nucleotides) under Mus musculus (house mouse). RNAcentral's name for it is "mmu-miR-8119". The record is from miRBase by way of RNAcentral. Lineage: Eukaryota; Metazoa; Chordata; Mammalia; Rodentia; Muridae.
GAGGAGAGGGAGCUAGGGUC